CGGAGCAGCGCGGGCGGCCCCGGCGCCGCCGCUGCCGCUGCCCGGGGCGGGAGAGGGCAGGUGUGGCCGGCACGGCGCAGCCCCAUGGAGCGGGGGAAGAUGGCGGAGCUGGAGAGCCUGGAGACGGCGGCGGAGCAUGAGCGGAUCCUGCGGGAGAUCGAGAGCACCGACACGGCCUGCAUCGGCCCCACGCUCAGGUCUGUCUAUGAUGGAGAGGAACACGGUCGCUUUAUGGAGAAGCUGGAGGCACGGAUCAGGAACCACGAUCGUGAGAUUGAGAAGAUGUGCAACUUCCAUUACCAGGGCUUUGUGGACUCCAUCACAGAGCUGCUGAAGGUUAGAGGAGAGGCUCAGAAACUGAAGAAUCAAGUGACAGACACCAACAGGAAGCUGCAGAACGAAGGAAAAGAAUUGAUCGUAGCAAUGGAAGAGCUGAAGCAAUGCCGGUUACAGCAGCGGAAUAUUUCAGCGACGGUUGAUAAGCUCACGCUGUGUCUUCCCGUCCUGGAGAUGUACAGCAAACUGCGAGAGCAAAUGAAAUCUAAAAGGCACUACCCUGCGCUCAAGACCCUGGAGCACCUCGAGCACACCUACCUGCCCCAAGUGAGCCACUACCGCUUCUGCAAGAUCAUGGUGGAUAAUAUCCCAAAGCUGCGGGAAGAGAUCAAGGAAGUUUCCAUGUCAGACCUCAAGGAUUUCCUGGAGAGUAUCCGUAAGCACUCGGACAAGAUAGGAGAGACGGCCAUGAAACAGGCACAGCAGCAACGAAACCUGGACAAUAUUGUAUCACAGCAUCCGAGGAUAAGUGGGGGGAAGAAGUCCAAGAAAGAAGCCUGCGCAAGCUCAGAACUGGAGGUAAAAAACACUAGCCCCAUGUCUGAGCAAGAUUCGGGUAUCCUGGAUGUUGAAGAUGAGGAUGAGGAUGAAGAGGUACCUGGAGCCCAGGACCUGGUGGACUUCUCCCCGGUGUACCGAUGUCUGCACAUAUACUCUGUCCUGGGUGCCCGGGAAACCUUUGAGAGCUACUACAGGAAACAGAGAAGAAAACAAGCCAGAUUGGUCCUGCAGCCUCCUUCGAACAUGCACGAAACGUUAGACGGCUACAGGAAGUAUUUUAAUCAAAUUGUAGGGUUUUUUGUAGUUGAAGAUCACAUCUUGCAUACAACGCAGGGCUUGGUAAAUAGAGCCUAUAUUGAUGAGCUGUGGGAGAUGGCAUUAUCAAAAACUAUUGCAGCUCUAAGAACACAUUCAUCCUACUGCUCGGACCCGAGCCUGGUGUUAGACUUGAAGAACCUCAUCGUCCUCUUUGCAGACACACUGCAGGGAUAUGGCUUCCCAGUGAACCAGCUCUUUGACAUGCUGUUGGAGAUCCAAGACCAGUAUAGUGAAACCCUGCUGAAGAAAUGGUCAGGAGUUUUCAGAAAUAUACUUGAUUCAGAUAACUACAGCCCCAUCCCAGUGACGAAUGAAGAAGUUUAUAAGAAAAUAGUUGGACAGUUCCCAUUCCAGGAUGCAGAACUUGAAAAGCAGCCGUUUCCAAAGAAGUUCCCCUUUUCUGAGUUUGUGCCUAAAGUUUACAGUCAGAUUAAGGAAUUCAUCUACGCCUGCCUCAAGUUUUCGGAAGACCUUCACCUGAGCUCCACGGAAGUCGAUGACAUGAUCAGAAAAUCCACAAACCUGCUGCUGACCCGAACCCUGAGCAACUGUUUGCAGAACGUCAUCAAGAGGAAGAACGUUGGGCUGACGGAGCUUGUACAGAUUAUUAUAAAUACGACCCAUUUGGAGAAAUCCUGCAAGUUCCUAGAGGAAUUCAUAACCAAUAUCACUAAUGUGCUUCCAGAAACUGUCCACACCACGAAACUCUACGGGACCACAACCUUCAAGGACGCCCGCCAUGCUGCUGAGGAGGAGAUUUACACCAACCUGAACCAGAAGAUAGACCAGUUCUUGCAGCUGGCAGACUACGAUUGGAUGGCCAUGGAGCCGGGCAGCAAGGCCAGCGACUACCUUACAGAUCUCAUUGGCUUUCUACGCAGCACGUUUGCGGUGUUCACCCACCUCCCGGGGGAUGUAGAUGUCCACUCUACAAUGUCGGGGAAGGUGGCACAGACGGCGUGCAUGUCGGCGUGCAAGCACCUCUCCACCUCACUGAUGCAGCUGCUGCUGGAGGCCGAAGUGCGGCAGCUGACCCUGGGCGCCCUGCAGCAGUUCAACCUGGACGUGGAGGAGUGCGAACAGUUUGCCAGAUCCGGCCCAGUGCCUGGGUUCCAAGGGGACACGCUGCAGUUGGCCUUCAUCGACUUGAGACAACUCUUGGAUCUGUUCAUCCAGUGGGACUGGUCGACGUAUUUGGCUGACUACGGGCAACCCACGUGCAAGUAUCUUCGUGUGAACCCAACGACAGCCCUUGUCCUGCUGGAAAAAGGUGACUAAGUAAUUUCACAGCAACUUAUGACAUCUAGAUAUUACCACUAUGGUACACAGGGACUGAACUACAGUAGUUGCUGUGUGUAAAGCACUUCUGUACAUCAUAACGUUGGUUUUAUAUAUGUAUUUAUGUGUUGUGUAAUAUCCUGUGUUGUUCACAACAUAUUCACAACUCAACAUCCAUAAUGCAAAAGCUUGAGAUAUACUCAGAGCUGCCAGUAAAAUGGUAACAUAAAGAGCUAUCAAAAAUCAGAGAACUUGGACAUGAAGCAGUUAGAAGAGCCAGGGAAUGGGAAGCAGGCAGUGAGCUGGGUGAUGUGGCAGCUUGUGGGGUGCCACUAGGACAGCAGGAGGGCAGCUGCAUGCUCCUGGCCAUUUUUCCCAGGCAUUAUUUAAGCAUGCAGCACCCAUGCAUUGGUGUUAAAAAGCCACAAACCCCAGUUUGGCUUGCCAGCCUUCUCCCCAAAAGGGAUCUCAUUUGAAGGUAUUCCAUUUGCUUCCCAGAGUUACCCACCAGGUUAGCACUUGCAUCUCCUGCAUCCUUGUGGCGUGCCAUCACCGGCACAGCAUCAUUGCCUGCAUACUCUGCCCUCUCCCUGCUUGGGCUUUAGGCCCUUUGGGGAAUCUUCUGUGCAUCAUCCACCAGCUCCAGCACCCCAGACACUGUGCAUUGACCCAGCCAUAGCUUCAGGCACGUCCACCUGAGCCUUCCCCAUCCCUCUCCAUAGCAGCCAAGCUUUGCCCACGAGGCGAUGUGAAAUGCUGAUCCACUGGUUCAUUUUGUAACCUGUUUUCAUCAUUAUCUCUUUUCCUAAUCACACAUCUCCCAUAGGAUAUCACGAGUGAUGAAGGACACGAGCAGAAAAAACAACGUUUUUGCCCAGUUUCGGAAAAACGAGAGGGACAAGCAGAAGCUGAUCGACACCGUGGCCAAGCAGCUGCGCAGCCUCAUCAACAGCCAUCACUCGUGAGGGACUUGGGGACCUCCUGCCCACGCCGGUCCCUGCACCGCAGCCUUCCACAUGCCUGGACUUGGGAUUCUUGUUCAAAGAGAAUAUAUGUAUUUUUUUAUUCA
RNA transcript from Pezoporus occidentalis (night parrot), 3502 nucleotides. It is a transcript of the gene named exocyst complex component 6B, with no coding region annotated. Lineage: Eukaryota; Metazoa; Chordata; Aves; Psittaciformes; Psittacidae. The transcript has 24 exons. The record is from RefSeq and is a predicted model, not a curated record.